UCAGGAUGAACGCUGACGGCGUGCUUAACACAUGCAAGUCGAACGGAGUUAGAGAGCUUGCUCUUAAACUUAGUGGCGGACGGGUGAGUAACGCGUGGGUAACCUGCCUUUCACUGGGGGAUAACAGUUAGAAAUGACUGCUAAUACCGCAUAAGCGCACAGGAUCGCAUGAUCUAGUGUGAAAAACUCCGGUGGUGAAAGAUGGACCCGCGUCUGAUUAGCCAGUUGGCAGGGUAACGGCCUACCAAAGCGACGAUCAGUAGCCGGCCUGAGAGGGUGAACGGCCACAUUGGGACUGAGACACGGCCCAAACUCCUACGGGAGGCAGCAGUGGGGAAUAUUGCACAAUGGGGGAAACCCUGAUGCAAGCGACGCCGCGUGAGUGAAGAAGUAUUUCGGUAUGUAAAGCUCUAUCAGCAGGGAAGAAAAUGACGGUACCUGACUAAGAAGCCCCGGCUAACUACGUGCCAGCCGCUGC
This 478-nucleotide ribosomal RNA is filed under the name uncultured bacterium. Its description in RNAcentral is "bacterial SSU rRNA". It matches the Rfam family "Bacterial small subunit ribosomal RNA", at positions 24 to 518 of the family's 1533-position model. The record is from RNAcentral.